UGUUACGGUAAAAUCUGGGUGCGGGGCUACUCUGCCACCCAGCUCAUCGGACUAGGUCCGCGGGUCCCUGCAGAAGAAAAUGAGCUCAGCCGGAGACAGGAGCAAACUGCAGAAGAUCCAAGUUUAUUGCGCAACAGGUUCAAGGCGAGAUUGAACAGCGAGAAAGGGGUGACAUGAACUUUUGAAAUUUCCCUCCAUGUCCCAGAAUACAGUGCAAAAUACAUCCCAGUUACAUCAUGAAUACAUUAAGAAGAGGUUGGGUUACACAGAUUACAUCACGAAUACAUUAGGAAGAGGUUGGGUUACACCGGAUUAACAUAUGGAGGAGGGAGGGGGGAAUAUGCAGAGCUGGAGAUAUGCGCAGAUAAGCACAUCCUGAGAAGACAAUGGUCCAUGUAUGCAUAGUCUGUCACCUGGCAUCGCCCGGAGGAAGGGCUUGGCAGAGCGAUUUGACAGGAUUAGGGUCUUGACACCUUGCUUGAGGGAUUAUGGAGGACAGGGGAGGUGUCAUGGAGUCCUAGAGAAAUUGAGCAAAUUGGCACGUUGAUUUUCUAUGAAUGUUAUAGAUUUUAGUCCCUUUUGACAUUGACAAUUGGAAAUAAAUGGAUAUAUUGUAGCGAAGAAGAAGGUGAAGAAGACAUGCCCCCCCUUCCGUAUCAGUCCCCCAUUCGGAGACAGAUUUGCAUUAAAGUUCUGUAAGAACUUGCAAAUCUUUUCUCCGCACCCUAAAUCUCGGUGAAUGUAGGGGUGCCCUGUGAGUGGGAAUAGGCUCUAAUGGAAAAGGAGGUGGGUUGAGCAGGGCAGCAAAAGAGGGAGCAACACGGACGAAUACAAUGUAUGCGCGUGUUAUAUAGAUAUGCGCUAAAUAAUAACUUGGUAUCUACCGUACCAGAUGUGUGGGUUUAUGCAAACCUGAAAGGGACUUGCAAGCCAUGCCUCUUACGGUCAUUUGCAAGUAUAGCAGUGCAGAUAGCUGGAUAUAGGGUAUUAUAUAAAAGAACACCUGUUGUAUUUUGUUACUAAAUUACUUGUGGCAUUCUAGGUCUUGGGAGAAACAUUUUCAGUAGUGGUGUAUGCUUUACAUUUAGCAGGAAGGUCCACUACUGACUGAAAAAAUGCAGUUUGCUUUUUAGCCCCACCGUUUUUGUGUUUUCAGGUGCCAAGCUAGCUCUUCUGUGGUCUCACACCGGCAUAGUGGUACAGUAACACAUCCUGUUGAAUCCCCUCAGGGCUUUCAUUUAACCAUGUCGCCUGGCACUCACCAUAGCUGGCACAGGUUUGGACAUAUCAUGAGAGAUAUGUCUUUGCCUUGGCCUUUCUAUGGGGUUUUAUUAUUUCAGGCUCUGGUCUUGCACUCAUGGAAAGUUGCUCACUUGCUCUUAAAGGACCAAAAGCUAGUUGCAGCCUGGAUACACGUGCCCAAUUCCAGCAGAGUCCAAUUUGAAUUUAUCUUGCCCCAUGGUUCUCAACUUUUCAAAACCAAUAUGUUAAAACAAAACCAUUCUUAAAAAGGGCCCUUGUCCAAAUGAGUCAAUUUAACUCUAUAAGGGACCAUUCCUGCUACAUCAAGGCAUAUACACGUUUCUUGUUAUCAAUAAUAAUAAUAAUAAUAAUAUGUUGGAGAUGUAAGGAAAGUGAAGGAACCUUAUUCUACAUAUGGUAGUCGUGUCCUCAAAUAAAUAAAUAAAA
Molecule: non-coding RNA, 1689 nt
Organism: Podarcis lilfordi (Lilford's wall lizard)
Lineage: Eukaryota; Metazoa; Chordata; Lepidosauria; Squamata; Lacertidae
Source: the annotation of a GenBank genome assembly